Molecule: small nuclear RNA, 105 nt
Filed under: Microcebus murinus (gray mouse lemur)
Lineage: Eukaryota; Metazoa; Chordata; Mammalia; Primates; Cheirogaleidae
Source: RNAcentral
GUGCUUGCUUCAGCAGCACAUAUACUAAAAUUGACCAGAUACAGAGGAUUAGCAUGGCCCCUGUGCACGGAUGACACGCAAAUUCGUGAAGCAUUCCAUAUUUAA